AGUUCUUCAGGAAGGACCAGGGUGACUACUUCAUUGGCUGCCUCUUCCUUACAGAGCUCAAUCCUUUGUCUCCUUAGGGAAGAUGCUCAUCCAGUGGAACUUCCAUUCAGCAAACCAGAGAAGUUGUCAUCCAAUGUCUCAUUGAUCACCUGGGUGAAGAUGCGAGUGCCUUGAUCAAGGACUUUGAGGAUGCCGGUGAUUCAGCUGUCAACAUGGAAGAGCUGGUGCCAGAGGUGAUGGCUAUGUACCUGGUGAAGAAGGAAGGUGGACUAGUCAACGAUGUAGGGGUCGUUAUUGAAGGUUCUACUGUACUCGGCCAUCUUGGGGAUCUCAGCAGAGCCUGCUGCUACCUGGUUUCACUGACCUGGUAUGCCUUCAACCUGAAAUACACCAAAACCCAAAUACAUUUUCGAGGUAUUUCAGAAGAUCCUGCUGGAAGUGGAUCCUGUAAACCUUUCUAUAAAGGUGCAAAGACUGAAGAACAAUGUGGU
This is a long non-coding RNA of Conger conger (European conger), 491 nucleotides long. RefSeq lists it as uncharacterized. The record is from RefSeq and is a predicted model, not a curated record. The transcript has 3 exons. NCBI's taxonomy places the organism in Eukaryota, Metazoa, Chordata, Actinopteri, Anguilliformes, Congridae.